AUGGAAUCCAGACGACACUUUUGCUAGUGGUUUUAAUAGAAAUAGAAUUCCCCAAGAAAUUUCACAAGAUAAAGAAGAAAAGAUUCUGGAAAAUCCUUCUCAAAUUAGCAAUCCAGUAGUGGAUGAGAUU
Lemur catta (Ring-tailed lemur) is the source of this 130-nucleotide long non-coding RNA. RefSeq lists it as uncharacterized. NCBI's taxonomy places the organism in Eukaryota, Metazoa, Chordata, Mammalia, Primates, Lemuridae. The transcript is spliced from 3 exons. The record is from RefSeq and is a predicted model, not a curated record.